UUGUUGGAGAGUUUGAUCCUGGCUCAGGACGAACGCUGGCGGCGUGCUUAACACAUGCAAGUCGAGCGGAAAGGCCCUUCGGGGUACUCGAGCGGCGAACGGGUGAGUAACACGUGAGCAACCUGCCCUAGGCUUUGGGAUAACCCUCGGAAACGGGGGCUAAUACCGAAUAGGACCACCGGUCGCAUGGUUGGUGGUGGAAAGUUUUUCGGCCUGGGAUGGGCUCGCGGCCUAUCAGCUUGUUGGUGGGGUGAUGGCCUACCAAGGCGACGACGGGUAGCCGGCCUGAGAGGGCGACCG
Molecule: ribosomal RNA, 300 nt
Filed under: Micromonospora reichwaldensis
Lineage: Bacteria; Bacillati; Actinomycetota; Actinomycetes; Micromonosporales; Micromonosporaceae
Description: partial 16S ribosomal RNA
Rfam family: Bacterial small subunit ribosomal RNA
Source: RNAcentral